RNAcentral lists this ribosomal RNA (440 nucleotides) under uncultured bacterium. RNAcentral describes it as "partial 16S ribosomal RNA". It matches the Rfam family "Bacterial small subunit ribosomal RNA", at positions 338 to 795 of the family's 1533-position model. The record is from RNAcentral.
CCUACGGGUGGCCGCAGUGGGAAAUAUUGCACAAUGGGGGAAACCCUGAUGCAGCGACGCCGCGUGAGUGAAGAAGUAUUUCGGUAUGUAAAGCUCUAUCAGCAGGGAAGAAAAUGACGGUACCUGAUUAAGAAGCCCCGGCUAACUACGUGCCAGCGGCCGCGGUAAUACGUAGGGGGCAAGCGUUCGCCGGAUUUACUGGGUGUAAGGGGAGCGGAGACGGAAGAAAAAGGCUGGAGUGAAGUGCCGGGGCUGAACCCCGGAACUGCUUUGGAAACUGUGCAGCUAGAGUGCAGGAGAGGGAAGUGGAAUUCCUGGGGUAGCGGUGAAAUGCGUAGAUAUUAGGAGGAACACCAGUGGCGAAGGCGGCUUACUGGACUUUAACUGACGUUGAGGCUCGAAAGCGUGGGGAGCAAACAGGAUUAGAUACCCCAGUAGUC